AAAGUCGUAACAAGGUUUCCGUAGGUGAACCUGCGGAAGGAUCAUUAACACGUAUCCAACGUUAAAACCCCCCUGUGAACUUUCAGCUGGUGUUCUCAACGACGUAAGAAAGGACCAAUCUCUGGUAAAUCAUCGCCGAACAGUUUUGAUUCAGAGACAUGUUCACCGUAGUGUUGAUCGAGCCGAUUGAAGUGGCCUGGUAUUCCUCUUUGGACUCCGUCAGUGUCUGAAAGUGUCACUGGCGCCAAACGAAUGACGCAGUAACGUUCGCGGCCGACACGGCCAGCGACCGGGCAACUGGGCGACGGCCCCCUAAUAACCUUUGCAUGAAAACGGGCCUGCGCUUAAUUGUGCGGCCAUAACCGAACAACUGUUAACAAUGGAUAUCUUGGUUCUC
This 397-nucleotide unclassified non-coding RNA is filed under the name Cercozoa sp. RNAcentral's name for it is "partial contains small subunit ribosomal RNA, internal transcribed spacer 1, and 5.8S ribosomal RNA". The stretch from base 1 to 47 matches the Rfam family "Eukaryotic small subunit ribosomal RNA", at positions 1785 to 1831 of the family's 1831-position model. The record is from RNAcentral. Lineage: Eukaryota; Cercozoa.